RNAcentral lists this ribosomal RNA (468 nucleotides) under uncultured bacterium. RNAcentral describes it as "partial 16S ribosomal RNA". It matches the Rfam family "Bacterial small subunit ribosomal RNA", at positions 28 to 507 of the family's 1533-position model. The record is from RNAcentral.
GACGAACGCUGGCGGCGUGCUUAACACAUGCAAGUCGAACGGAAAGGCCCUGCUUUUGUGGGGUGCUCGAGUGGCGAACCGGUGAGUAACACGUGAGUAACCUGCCCUUGACUUUGGGAUAACUUCAGGAAACUGGGGCUAAUACCGGAUAGGAGCUCCUGCUGCAUGGUGGGGGUUGGAAAGUUUCGGCGGUUGGGGAUGGACUCGCGGCUUAUCAGCUUGUUGGUGGGGUAGUGGCUUACCAAGGCUUUGACGGGUAGCCGGCCUGAGAGGGUGACCGGCCACAUUGGGACUGAGAUACGGCCCAGACUCCUACGGGAGGCAGCAGUGGGGAAUAUUGCACAAUGGGCGGAAGCCUGAUGCAGCAACGCCGCGUGCGGGAUGACGGCCUUCGGGUUGUAAACCGCUUUCGCCUGUGACGAAGCGUGAGUGACAGUAAUGGGUAAAGAAGCACCGGCUAACUACGUG